GACGAACGCUGGCGGCGCGCCUAACACAUGCAAGUCGAACGAGAGAUGAAGAGCUUGCUCUUCAGAUCGAGUGGCGAACGGGUGAGUAACGCGUGAGGAACCUGCCUCAAAGAGGGGGGACAACAGUUGGAAACGACUGCUAAUACCGCAUAAGCCCACGGCUCGGCAUCGAGCAGAGGGAAAAGGAGCAAUCCGCUUUGAGAUGGCCUCGCGUCCGAUUAGCUAGUUGGUGAGGUAACGGCCCACCAAGGCGACGAUCGGUAGCCGGACUGAGAGGUUGAACGGCCACAUUGGGACUGAGACACGGCCCAGACUCCUACGGGAGGCAGCAGUGGGGAAUAUUGCACAAUGGGGGAAACCCUGAUGCAGCGACGCCGCGUGGAGGAAGAAGGUCUUCGGGAUUGGUAAAACUCCUGUUGUUGAGGAAGAUAAUGACGGUACUCAACAAGGAAGUGACGGCUAACUACGUG
This 470-nucleotide ribosomal RNA is filed under the name uncultured bacterium. Its description in RNAcentral is "bacterial SSU rRNA". It matches the Rfam family "Bacterial small subunit ribosomal RNA", at positions 28 to 507 of the family's 1533-position model. The record is from RNAcentral.